ACAGUAGGCCGUUCUAUCGCUCUCCGUUUUACGGAGUGAGGAAAGUCCGGGCAGCAUAGGACAUCAUGCUUCUUAAUAGGAAGAAACCUGCGAAGGUUUGUUGGUGCAGAAGAAAAUAACCGUCCCGACUUGUCGGGAUAAGGGUGAGAAGGUAAGGUAAGAGCUUACCAGAGUUAUGGGUGACCAUAAUUGCUGUGCACUCCAUGAGCUGUAAAACCAUGUAAACCAACACUUGAGGAUUGUCCGUCCGAUGUUGGAGGGUAGGUUGCUUGAGGUUAUUAGUGAUAAUAAUCCCAGAUAAAUGAUAGAACUUAUUGCUUUGCAAUAGGACAGAACCCGGCUUACAGGCUUGCUGUUUUU
Molecule: RNase P RNA, 360 nt
Filed under: Salinivirgaceae bacterium
Lineage: Bacteria; Pseudomonadati; Bacteroidota; Bacteroidia; Bacteroidales; Salinivirgaceae
Description: RNase P RNA component class A
Rfam family: Bacterial RNase P class A
About the family: Ribonuclease P (RNase P) is a ubiquitous endoribonuclease, found in archaea, bacteria and eukarya as well as chloroplasts and mitochondria.
Source: RNAcentral